CCUACGGGUGGCAGCAGUCGAGAAUCAUUCACAAUGGGGGAAACCCUGAUGGUGCGACGCCGCGUGGGGGAAUGAAGGUCUUCGGAUUGUAAACCCCUGUCAUGUGGGAGCAAAUUAAAAAGAUAGUACACCAAGAGGAAGAGACGGCUAACUCUGUGCCAGCAGCCGCGGUAAUACAGAGGUCUCAAGCGUUGUUCGGAAUCACUGGGCGUAAAGCGUGCGUAGGCUGUUUCGUAAGUCGUGUGUGAAAGGCGAGGGCUCAACCCGCGGACGGCACAUGAUACUGCGAGACUAGAGUAAUGGAGGGGGAAGCGGGAUUCUCGGUGUAGCAGUGAAAUGCGUAGAUAUCGAGAGGAACACUCGUGGCGAAGGCGGGUUCCUGGACAUUAACUGACGCUGAGGCACGAAGGCCAGGGGAGCGAAAGGGAUUAGAUACCCUUGUAGUC
RNAcentral lists this ribosomal RNA (446 nucleotides) under uncultured bacterium. Its description in RNAcentral is "partial 16S ribosomal RNA". It matches the Rfam family "Bacterial small subunit ribosomal RNA", at positions 338 to 795 of the family's 1533-position model. The record is from RNAcentral.